Molecule: ribosomal RNA, 636 nt
Filed under: Macropsalliota americana
Lineage: Eukaryota; Fungi; Basidiomycota; Agaricomycetes; Agaricales; Agaricaceae
Description: eukaryotic LSU rRNA
Rfam family: Eukaryotic large subunit ribosomal RNA
Source: RNAcentral
AAGCAUAUCAAUAAGCGGAGGAAAAGAAACUAACAAGGAUUCCCCUAGUAACUGCGAGUGAAGCGGGAAAAGCUCAAAUUUAAAAUCUGGCGGUCUUUGGUCGUCCGAGUUGUAAUCUAGAGAAGUGAUGCCCGCGCUGGACCGUGUACAAGUCUCCUGGGAUGGAGCGUCAUAGAGGGUGAGAAUCCCGUCUUUGACACGGACUACCAGUGCUUUGUGGUACGCUCUCAACGAGUCGAGUUGUUUGGGAAUGCAGCUCAAAAUGGGUGGUAAAUUCCAUCUAAAGCUAAAUAUUGGCGAGAGACCGAUAGCGAACAAGUACCGUGAGGGAAAGAUGAAAAGAACUUUGGAAAGAGAGUUAAACAGUACGUGAAAUUGCUGAAAGGGAAACGCUUGAAGUCAGUCGCGUUGGCCGGGGAUCAGCCUCGCUUUUGCGUGGUGUACUUUCCGGUUGACGGGUCAGCAUCAAUUUUGACCGCUGGAAAAAGGCUUGGGGAAUGUGGCAGCUUCGGCUGUGUUAUAGCUUCAUGUCACAUACAGCGGUUGGGAUUGAGGAACUCAGCACGCCGCAAGGCCGGGUUUCGACCACGUUCGUGCUUAGGAUGCUGGCAUAAUGGCUUAAGCGACCCGUCUUGA